RNAcentral lists this ribosomal RNA (376 nucleotides) under uncultured eukaryote. RNAcentral describes it as "partial 18S ribosomal RNA". It matches the Rfam family "Eukaryotic small subunit ribosomal RNA", at positions 592 to 976 of the family's 1831-position model. The record is from RNAcentral.
CAAUAGCGUAUAUUAAAGUUGUUGCAGUUAAAAAGCUCGUAGUCGGAUUUUGAGUUUGGUAAAAUCGGUCUGCUUUCCGCAGUACUGACUUGCCUGCUCUUCUUCUCGAGGCCUAUGAGUGUACUUAACCGUGCGUUCAUAGUGUUCGGGACUUUUACCGUGAGAAAAUUAGAGUGUUCAUAGCAGGCUUUUGCUUGAAUAUUGCAGCAUGGAAUAAUGGAAUAGGAUCAUGAUCUUAUUUUGUUGGUUUCUAAGAUCAAGAUAAUGAUUAAUAGGGAUAGUUGGGGGCAUUAAUAUUUAGUUGUCAGAGGUGAAAUUCUUAGAUUUACAAAAGAUUAACUUCUGCGAAAGCAUUUGCCAAGGAUGUUUUCGUUAA